UAAUUUUAAAAGAAACUUAUUGGAUUUGGCGGCAAAGUAACCGUUUAGAGGAACCUGUCCUAUAAAUGACACUACACAAACUACCUUACUAUCUUUUGUAAUCAGUUUAUAUACCUCUGUUGUCAAUUAAAUUCUAUAGAAUUUUAUUAUAAAAAUAAGAGAUUUAUACUUCAAGUAAAGGUGUAGCUAAUAAGGUAGAGAGAGAUGGGUUACAAUUAGUUGGCUAAAGCGGAUAUCCCAUAAUUAUAAGGGUUAAAGACGGAUUUAAUAGUAAAAAUUUUUAAAGAAAUUUUGAGAAGAGAAAUAUUUUGUGUACAAACCGCCCGUC
RNAcentral lists this ribosomal RNA (328 nucleotides) under Octolasmis orthogonia. RNAcentral's name for it is "partial 12S small subunit ribosomal RNA". Lineage: Eukaryota; Metazoa; Arthropoda; Thecostraca; Poecilasmatidae. The record is from RNAcentral.